Molecule: long non-coding RNA, 794 nt
Organism: Oncorhynchus keta (chum salmon)
Lineage: Eukaryota; Metazoa; Chordata; Actinopteri; Salmoniformes; Salmonidae
Exons: 4
Source: RefSeq, a predicted model, not a curated record
UCUCUGAGGAGAAAAUGAGAAAAUGUGCUCCCAGUGAAGUAAUUACGAAUCUACAUGUUUUCUCCCAAAAACUUUCAAGACAAAAGUGUAGUGCAAAAAGCCUUUGCUGUUGUGUCUACUCCAUCCAGUGUUUAGACACAGCAGGAUAAAUGAGGUGUUUGUUGUGUCUACUCCACCCAGUGUUUAGACACAGCCAGAUAAAUGAGGUGUUUGUCGUGUCUACUCCAUCCAGUGUUUAGACACAGCCAGAUAAAUGAGGUGUUUGUUGUGUCUACUCCAUCCAGUGUUUAGACACAGCCAGAUAAAUGAGGUGUUUGUUGUGUCUACUCCAUCCAGUGUUUAGACACAGCCAGAUAAAUGAGGUGUUUGUUGUGUCUACUCCACCCAGUGUUUAGACACAGCCAGAUAAAUGAGGUGUUUGUUGUGUCUACUCCAUCCAGUGUUUAGACACAGCCAGAUAAAUGAGGUGUUUGUUGUGUCUACUCCAUCCAGUGUUUAGACACAGCCAGGUAAAUGAGGUGUUUGUUGUGUCUACUCCACCCAGUGUUUAGACACAGCCAGAUAAAUGAGGUGUUUGUUGUGUCUACUCCAUCCAGUGUUUAGACACAGCCAGGUAAAUGAGGUGUUUGUUGUGUCUACUCCACCCAGUGUUUAGACACAGCCAGAUAAAUGAGGUGUUUGUUGUGUCUACUCCACCCAGUGUUUCGACACAGCCAGAUAAAUGAGGUGUUUGUUGUGUCUACUCCACCCAGUGUUUCGACACAGCCAGAUAAAUGAGGUGUUUGUUGUUCUCG